UUAGCGUCAGUAGCGAUUUUUUUAGUACUUUCACUGCGUAAAACAUUUGGACGAAUUAUAGAACUAUUGGAAACAACUGCAAAGCAACCACAAAAACCAUAAUAUUUGUUCUUUUUCUAAUAAAUUGAUCAGAAGCUCGGUUCCACCAGUAGCAAUCACAAUACUUUGCGUUGAUUCGUCUCGUAGAUUGUAGUCUACUAAUGCAGCCAAUGCGAUUGCCGUAGCUGUUUGAUUGCCCACCUGUAGUACUGCGUCAUCAGAUAAAGAUGUUGGAUUAUACCAUCUGUCUUCUUCAAACUCACUCAACGUCAUACUAUAACUUGAACUAUCAUCCGAUU
Sipha flava (yellow sugarcane aphid) is the source of this 338-nucleotide long non-coding RNA. RefSeq lists it as uncharacterized. The record is from RefSeq and is a predicted model, not a curated record. The transcript is spliced from 3 exons. NCBI's taxonomy places the organism in Eukaryota, Metazoa, Arthropoda, Insecta, Hemiptera, Aphididae.